UACGGAGGAUGCAAGUGUUAUCCGGAAUCACUGGGCGUAAAGCGUCUGUAGGUGGUUUAAUAAGUCAACUGUUAAAUCUUGAGGCUCAACUUCAAAAUCGCAGUCGAAACUGUUAGACUAGAGUAUAGUAGAGGUAAAGGGAAUUUCCAGUGGAGCGGUGAAAUGCGUAGAUAUUGGAAAGAACACCGAUGGCGAAGGCACUUUACUGGGCUAUUACUGACACUCAGAGACGAAAGCUAGGGUAGCAAAUGGGAUUAGAUACCCCAGUAGUCCUAGCCGUAAACAAUGGAUACUAGGUUGAACAGUCGCUGCAGUAUCAAAGCUAACGCGUUAAGUAUCCCGCCUGGGAAGUAUGCUCGCAAGAGUG
RNAcentral lists this ribosomal RNA (367 nucleotides) under uncultured phototrophic eukaryote. RNAcentral describes it as "SSU rRNA". It matches the Rfam family "Bacterial small subunit ribosomal RNA", at positions 524 to 896 of the family's 1533-position model. The record is from RNAcentral.